AAAAAAAAAAGUAAUUAAUUAAUUAACUAUUAAUAAUUAAAUAUUUUGUUUGGUAUCUCGAACAAGGGAAAGAAAAUGUAUAUGACUGAAAUGUUGUAUAAUUAGUCCCCUUUAGAGGUCACCGUCUGAGGCUUAGUAAAGCAAUAGAUACAAUCUUUCAUGUUCAUACGCAUCUUCGCUAGCAGAGUGGUUAUCGUGUUGGCUUAAGAAGCCUGGGAAGGCUUUUGCCCACGAGUUGGAAUCCAAGUCGUUCACUUUUUAAAAAAUUUAAUACAUUCAAAAAAGUAUCACCCAGAUACUCUUUUCUUUCUCCCCCACCCCUUCCCAACUGGUCCAGACAAGUGAAAGGAUCAUAGCGUAGUGAGAAAGCUAAAAACAUAAAAUUGUGCUAAACAAAAACAAUUGGUUGUAUAUAUAUAUAUACUAACCGGAUAUUACUUGUCGCUCUGUCACCCGCGGAAAACUCGCUCUAAUAGAUAGAAUGACUGUGACAAAUGAAAUAAAUCUAUUUGACUUACGAUCUUUUUGUAUGGUUUUUAUUUUUCAAUUUUGCUUUCUAUUAUAGUGUUUGUAUAGCUAUGUCAUUAAAACGAGAGUACUCUCGUGGGCGACGUAGUAAAUAAUUUUAAUAUAUGUAUAUCUUUAUUUUAUGAUAGGUAUGUACAUUCAAGAAUUAAUGGACCUCAUUCAGCAAUCGUAAUCAAACAACAUUUAGCCACGUGAUUCUCUAUCUCUUCUAUACAAACAGGCUAUCAUGUGACAAGUUUUUUUUCGUUGUUUCAUCAAUAUUAUCACGUGGCUAAAUGUUGUUUGUUUACCUUUGGUGAAUGAGGUCCAUUAUUUGUGUAUUAUAAAAUCGGUGCUGAAAAGUUUGUUCAAGCGGUUGUUUAUUGUUAUUG
This is a non-coding RNA of Biomphalaria pfeifferi, 899 nucleotides long. Lineage: Eukaryota; Metazoa; Mollusca; Gastropoda; Planorbidae. The record is from the annotation of a GenBank genome assembly.